AACGGAGGGUGCAAGCGUUGUUCGGAUUUACUGGGCGUAAAGGGCGCGUAGGCGGCGUGACAAGUCACUUGUGAAAUCUCUGAGCUUAACUCAGAACGGCCAAGUGAAACUGUUGUGCUAGAGUGCAGAAGGGGCAAUCGGAAUUCUUGGUGUAGCGGUGAAAUGCGUAGAUAUCAAGAGGAACACCUGAGGUGAAGACGGGUUGCUGGGCUGACACUGACGCUGAUGCGCGAAAGCCAGGGGAGCAAACGGG
This 253-nucleotide ribosomal RNA is filed under the name uncultured bacterium. Its description in RNAcentral is "partial 16S ribosomal RNA". It matches the Rfam family "Bacterial small subunit ribosomal RNA", at positions 524 to 776 of the family's 1533-position model. The record is from RNAcentral.